RNAcentral lists this ribosomal RNA (425 nucleotides) under uncultured bacterium. Its description in RNAcentral is "partial 16S ribosomal RNA". It matches the Rfam family "Bacterial small subunit ribosomal RNA", at positions 354 to 796 of the family's 1533-position model. The record is from RNAcentral.
GUGGGGAAUCUUGCGCAAUGGGCGAAAGCCUGACGCAGCCAUGCCGCGUGAAUGAUGAAGGUCUUAGGAUUGUAAAAUUCUUUCACCGGGGACGAUAAUGACGGUACCCGGAGAAGAAGCUCCGGCUAACUUCGUGCCAGCAGCCGCGGUAAUACGAAGGGGGCUAGCGUUGCACGGAAUUACUGGGCGUAAAGGGCGCGUAGGCGGACAGCUUAGUCAGAGGUGAAAGCCCAGGGCUCAACCUUGGAAUUGCCUUUGAUACUGGCUGUCUUGAGUUUGGGAGAGGUGAGUGGAACUCCGAGUGUAGAGGUGAAAUGCGUAGAUAUUCGGAAGAACACCAGUGGCGAAGGCGACUCACUGGCCCAAUACUGACGCUGAGGCGCGAAAGCGUGGGGAGCAAACAGGAUUAGAAACCCCUGUAGUCC